AAGAGCUGAUGAGAAGGGGAGAAAGAAAUUAGUACAGCAUAGCUCCUCAGCCUUCAGAGUUGUGAGAACAGCUGUGACUGAACUGAUGAAAUGUCUGCCCAACAAUAAACACACUCGACAGGGCUUGAAGAGCUGUGAAACAUGAAGGUGAAGCUUUGGGGCAGGCAGCUUCUUAAUAUGUUGUCAGAGAAUUUAGAAAAUUUAAUUCCAAGGAAAUAGGAAGUUCAAAGAAAGCAUCUUCCUCAUUAAAAACCACCAAACGCUGCAGCCUGCAGCAGCUUGAACAAUGCUUGCAGCAUUCCCCAAGAAUCCCUGCACAUUGGCAUUAUCCAGAGCGCAUCAUGAUUUGGCAGAUCGAGGCAUGCCUGAAAGACUCUCCUGUCCUUUCUGCAUCCCAGUUGUGAGCUCCCACUGGAGGUUCGUGCAUCUGCACAGUAAGCAGGAUCAAGGGGCUGAAAGCUAACAAGAAAAUGAGACGAACUGGUUGCAAGGCUGUCAUGAGGAGACACUGCCAGGAGAAGGGGGAAUUGCCUCCACAUGUCGCCACUUGGAUCAGACAGCUGAUCUGCAGCAUUUUUACCCUUUCGUAAACACGUUGUCACAAGGUGCCACCAGUGUCACUGACAGGCUCAGCUUUGGCCAGCAGUGGGUCCACCUUGGAGCCAUCAGGAACCAGCCGUGUCCAGCACAAGGCAUCCCCUGGCCUCUUCUCGCAGAGGCCACCUCUGCAGCACCCACCUCCACCCAGACUUGCCAAGUAAACCCAGUAGAACCAACUGGUUUAUUCUUUGUUACUCUGAUCCAGUUAAAAAGUGUGACUUGCUGGUUGCACUGAAAACGUGUGAAGGCCUGGCGUUAACAUGUCUGCCAGGGGAAUGAAUGAAUCCUCCUCUUGCUGGCUGCUUUGGUGGGAGUGAAGAAAGAUCAGUCUGCUGUGGCCUGGCAAAGCCAGCAUUUUAACCAUAAGGAGAAUCAGUCAAGCUCCUUGUAAGACACUGACAAAUUAAACAAACUUCAACUUUUCAAACUUCUCCAAAUUUUAUUCAUGAAGAACAGCAUUUGCUUAGAAAAGCCCCUCUCCCAAAGUAAAAAUAAAUCAGCACCAAUAUUAUUUAUAUAAAUACAAGUAAAUCCAUACAUAAAUGCAUAUACAUACAUACAUGCAGACAUACACAUAUGUGCAUGUAUAUGCCAAGAAUCCUGAACUAAUGUCUGAGCUGAUUUUGUUUCUCUACACUUUUGAAACAUUUCAUGAAUUUCAGAGUCUGGCCUCACAAAUGCUUUAAGAUGAUCCAAGUGUAGGCUGCUUCUGAAGGGACCACAGAUUGUGUGUCUGCAAUGCUCUGCUCAAGUGCUGCCUUUGAUUUUUCUAUAAUCUGUUCACUAUUUCAUAGCCCAACUUUUUAAUUUAAGUUCAUUUCAUUUCUCCUUCCUCCCUAUGUUGAAGGUGGUCUGUUGUUACAGCUGUGAGGAACAAUUGCACAAUAAACUGUUCUAUAGUGUCUCAUGUUCAUGUUUUGCUAGAUAAACAUGGGGGGUUUUUCCACUAUAAAUGGUUAAACUCCUGUGAUCCUGUAUCACAUGAGCUGCAUAUUUGAUUUAGUUAUAUUAUUUUUUACAAAAAUGGUGUUUUGCCACCAGUUUUUAGCUAAACUGGUGGUCUGGUGCUAAGCUUCCUCUUUGCAUUUUGCUGACAUUGCAGACCUCAGGGUUGUUGGUAUAACAUAUACAGCUACUAUGAUUUCACGCUAUAUUUUCUGGUAUUGCUACUUGUAGACAGGAGGAAAAAAGAAUUGAGUAUUAACACUUUUUUUUUCCCAGCAUAUCCAAACAAAUUAAUGCCAGCUUAGGACCAUGAACCUAACAUUCCUUUAGACGUUAUUUAUAUGUACAGCAUUAGCCUCUUGUCUUUACCUUGUUCCUUAUCAUCAAGUUUUCAACAUCUACUCAUAAUUUCCCCUUAUUACUUUCUUUAUGACAUUUUGUCUAAUUCCUGUAAAAUAGGCAGUAGUUCUGUAAUUUCUGAAUUUUCUUUCAGUUACUCUUUCACUGUACAUUAUCUGUUAUUGUGGGUUCCUUUUUUACAGAAGAGUUGUUCUGUUAGCUGGGAUCAGCUGAAAAAUUUUCAAAAGGUAAGCUAUCUUUUACCAAAAUUUGCUCUGCUGGAAACAGAAUGCCCUGCUCUAUCCCUCUGGGCAGUCAGUCUCUCUGUACAACACCUCCAUAGAAGUACCCUAUAUGUGACCCCUGAGAAACUGCAGAAGUAUGACGUACGAACACAUGAAUUUUCCAGAACUCCUGUGGGAGUUCUUCCCUAUUGUGUCAGCUGUGAAUAAAUUAUAUAGACUGAUAGUUUCCAUUACUGGACUAGGUGCUCCACUCCCUAAGGAAAUCAUAAUCUGUGUAGUUCCAAGUGUUGAGAAUUGUUAGGAUCAAUAGCCUUACUUAGCAUUUGAAGCUGAAGUACUUGAAGCCUUAGGCUGCAAGAGCUGUACAAGAGUAAAGUUUUUGAUAAAGCUGAUAUUGUAACCACAAAACUAGCUGAAAGCAACAGUUGCAAGAAGGAUGAAGAAGAUAAGGACCAAGAAAACAACUCUGAGAGAAUGUGGUAACUUCAGAAGAAGACCAAGCCAGAGCCAGGAAAACCAAUAAGAAAUCAAGAGACUACUGACUGGAAUUAAGUGAUUGGACUUGGGGAUUGGGUAAUGGGUGGUACAUUCUGGGAAAUCUGUUUGUGAGGGUAUAAUUGGGGUGCAUGGUCUGCAGUGGAGGUCCCCCCUUGGAGGCAUCCAGCUCGAGCUGCUCUGCAUGUUGGAUAAAUAAACCACUUAUUUACACAGUGGACCGGUGACUUACCUUCUUCGAGCAGGAACCUAGGGCCGAGCCCUGUUAAGGUGGCAUCCACGUAAUUCCUGACAUGGACUGGGUGGUGGCUGCAUAACUCCUGCAACACAAGAUUGUAUAUUUAGUACGCAUGAGCCUAUAAUAAGAAUUGUCCCCUGGUACACGGUCUGAUUGUUGCCUGUUUGUGACUUUACUGUAAGCUUAGACAUCAUGUAAUUAUAUAAACUGCACAUUACCAUAAAUCACAACAGUUUUAUUCAUAUUACUAGAUACAUCUGCCUGUUGAACUGUUCCUAGAAUCAGUACUGGUGUACUGUAAAGUAAGAGUAUACUUUCAUAUUUGUUAGGAGUUUCAUCUUUGUCCACAGGCUUUUACAGAUGGCUUAAGUUCUUGGAAAUGUAGCCAUAUCAUCAAAAGGAUGGAUACUGCUGUGGUGUGUAUUUUAUUGUAUACUUCAUACAGUCUUUCACAGUGUCCUCUUCGAACUCAUCCUAUUGAUUUUGCAGGCUUAAGUUUCCAAAUCUGUCUUGUUUCUUUAUGCUCCCAAGAGUUAGUGGCUUGGUCAUGUAGUCCAUUAUUGUUCUGCCCUGGAGGGUAAAUGUGGGGUCCUAAUUACAGGCUAGUCAAUUUACAUUCUGCAAUUCACCACUCCUUUUUUUAUUCUAAGUUUAAAUCUGGCUUCUAUGUAACAUUUUGUUCAGGUUUGACUGUCUUAUGUUUGUCACAGAUGGAUGCUGAACAAGAGGUUCCCGAAGACUUUAAGACUGCCUAUAAAACUGAGGCCUCUUGUAAGAACUUCAUCAGUUUCUUCUUCAUACCUGAUACCUUUUAACAGCUUCAUACAUUCUAGGUCAAGAAUACUUAGUACCUUUCCUUAGUACAGUCUGAUAAAUGUAUAUUUGCACUUUUAUAUCAAUUAUUAAAGUAUUCUUAAAUAUCCAGGACAAAACAACUUUCUUUUCAUAUUUGUUGUCAGCAGGUCCAUUGAGCCUUCCUGAGGGACAAAAUUCCUGCUGGAUCUCUCUGAAUUUUUUUCAAUUGGUCUUUCUUUUCCUAAGCCCAGUCUUAUCAUGAGGUGUUCAUAAGUGGUGAUGUUUUGUGACAGAGGUGAAUAUUCAAAAAAAACCCAACCAAAAAAUCCAGAAGUAUUUACCUCUCGAUGAUGAGUUACAAGUAAGGAGCUUGUGAGAAAGAAAGGGUUUAAUUUCUUGCUCUCAGUACUGUAGUAAGUCCUCAAGAAGAGCUCUGUUCUCUCAAAAGGUUUUCAGUCCUCAAAAUGGUGAAACUUUUGAAAAAUACCAAACUUUUUCCCUUGUGAGAAGUCCAGGGGGAUCUUCCACUGCUGGUAACCUCUUGAAACAGUGAAGUAACUCUAUAAAAGGAAGAGGUCUGUAAAAUAAAUAAACACACAAAGAAACAAGCAAGCGUGAUUUCCAAGCAAAUAUCAGGGGUUUGCACUUGUCACGAUCC
Non-coding RNA from Phalacrocorax carbo (great cormorant), 4315 nucleotides. NCBI's taxonomy places the organism in Eukaryota, Metazoa, Chordata, Aves, Suliformes, Phalacrocoracidae. The record is from RefSeq and is a predicted model, not a curated record.